CAUUUGAAACCUUCUCUGCAUUUCUUCCUCCUCCUUCUCUUUCCCUUUCAGUCGCUCCACAUGUUCUCCCUUGCUGUAUAUCGGCUUUGCACCAUUUAAGUCAAUGGAGCUAUGCUAAUUUACAUCAGCUGAGGGUCUGGUCCAUAGUUGCUGGCCUUCCAGAGACCUGGUGCAGGACAUGCAGGUUGCCAGCAGUGGACCCGGCAGGGAAAGGCCUGGGCCUGCUGGUGUUGCCCCACAUCACACUCUGGUUUGCAUGUAGCCACGAGGGCCUUCCUGAUGGAAAAAAUAAAAUGAUGUACAUUUAUUUUAAAAAGACAAACUCUAUGGAACACUGAGGCUGAAGUGCUGCUUCCUUAUUGGUUACUGAACCUGUCAGUGAUUCCUAGGAAGAGACGAAUACUGUUAACAGAACCCUGUAUCCACGGUAACAUGUGACUGAAACGUUCCGGCAGAAGGUAACUUCUUUGAUUUUUAUUUCUUAUCAUUUGAUUUAUUUCCCUGGAGUGACCCAUGGCACUGGCACUCAAUGACUGGCAGGGAGGGUGGAUGGUCAGGGAUCAAGUCUGG
Molecule: long non-coding RNA, 570 nt
Filed under: Gopherus agassizii (Agassiz's desert tortoise)
Lineage: Eukaryota; Metazoa; Chordata; Testudines; Testudinidae
Description: lncRNA (ENSGAGG00000008679.1)
Source: RNAcentral